AUUGAACGCUGGCGGCAGGCCUAACACAUGCAAGUCGAACGGUAACAGGAAGAAGCUUGCUUCUUUGCUGACGAGUGGCGGACGGGUGAGUAAUGUCUGGGAAACUGCCUGAUGGAGGGGGAUAACUACUGGAAACGGUAGCUAAUACCGCAUAACGUCGCAAGACCAAAAAGGGGGACCUUCGGGCCUCUUGCCCUCGGAUGUGCCCAGAUGGGAUUAGCUAGUAGGUGGGGUAACGGCUCACCUAGGCGACGAUCCCUAGCUGGUCUGAGAGGAUGACCAGCCACACUGGAACUGAGACACGGUCCAGACUCCUACGGGAGGCAGCAGUGGGGAAUAUUGCACAAUGGGCGCAAGCCUGAUGCAGCCAUGCCGCGUGUAUGAAGAAGGCCUUCGGGUUGUAAAGUACUUUCAGCGGGGAGGAAGGGAGUAAAGUUAAUACCUUUGCUAAUUGACGUUACCCGCAGAAGAAGCACCGGCUAACUCCGUG
Molecule: ribosomal RNA, 490 nt
Filed under: uncultured bacterium
Lineage: Bacteria
Description: partial 16S ribosomal RNA
Rfam family: Bacterial small subunit ribosomal RNA
Source: RNAcentral